CCUACGGGUGGCAGCAGUGGGGAAUAUUGGACAAUGGGCGAAAGCCUGAUCCAGCCAUGCCGCGUGUGUGAAGAAGGCCUUCGGGUUGUAAAGCACUUUCAGUGGGGAAGAAAGCCUUGGGGCUAAUACCCUCGAGGAAGGACAGCACCCACAGAAGAAGCACCGGCUAACUCCGUGCCAGCAGCCGCGGUAAUACGGAGGGUGCGAGCGUUAAUCGGAAUUACUGGGCGUAAAGCGCGCGUAGGCGGUCUGAUAAGCCGGUUGUGAAAGCCCCGGGCUCAACCUGGGAACGGCAUCCGGAACUGUCAGGCUAGAGUGCAGGAGAGGAAGGUAGAAUUCCCGGUGUAGCAGUGAAAUGCGUAGAGAUCGGGAGGAAUACCGGUGGCGAAGGCGGCCUUCUGGACUUACACUGACGCUGAGGUGCGAAAGCGUGGGUAGCAAACAGGAUUAGAUACCCGGGUAGUC
RNAcentral lists this ribosomal RNA (465 nucleotides) under Vreelandella stevensii. Its description in RNAcentral is "partial 16S ribosomal RNA". It matches the Rfam family "Bacterial small subunit ribosomal RNA", at positions 338 to 795 of the family's 1533-position model. Lineage: Bacteria; Pseudomonadati; Pseudomonadota; Gammaproteobacteria; Oceanospirillales; Halomonadaceae. The record is from RNAcentral.